AGAGUUUGAUCCUGGCUCAGGACGAACGCUGGCGGCGUGCCUAACACAUGCAAGUCCAUGCGAAGCUGCUUACAACGGAAUCCUUCGGGAAGAAGAUGUAAGUAUCUUAGCGGCGGACGGGUGAGUAACGCGUGAGGAACCUACCUUCCACAAGGGGAUAGCCUUGGGAAACUGGGAUUAAUACCCUAUGAGACUUAGGUAUCGUAUGAUACUUAGGUUAAAGCGUAAAGCGGUGGAAGAUGGCCUCGCGUCCCAUUAGCUAGUUGGUGAGGUAACGGCUCACCAAGGCGACGAUGGGUAGCCGGCCUGAGAGGGUGGACGGCCACACUGGAACUGAGACACGGUCCAGACUCCUACGGGAGGCAGCAGUGGGGAAUAUUGCACAAUGGGCGAAAGCCUGAUGCAGCGACGCCGCGUGAGCGAAGAAGGCCUUCGGGUCGUAAAGCUCUGUCCUAUGGGACGAUAAUGACGGUACCAUAGGAGGAAGCCCCGGCUAACUACGUGCCAGCAGCCGCGGUAAUACGUAGGGGGCGAGCGUUGUCCGGAAUGACUGGGCGUAAAGGGUACGUAGGCGGCCGUGUAAGUCAGGUGUGAAAGGCUAGGGCUCAACCCUAGUGAGCACUUGAAACUGCAUGGCUUGAGUCGAGGAGAGGAAAGUGGAAUUCCUGGUGUAGCGGUGAAAUGCGUAGAUAUCAGGAGGAAUACCAGUGGCGAAGGCGACUUUCUGGCCUUAGACUGACGCUGAGGUACGAAAGCGUGGGGAGCAAACUGGAUUAGAUACCCUGGUAGUCCACGCCGUAAACGAUGAGUGCUAGGUGUCGGGACAUAAGUUUCGGUGCCGAAGUUACACAUUAAGCACUCCGCCUGGGAGUACGGUCGCAGACUGAACUCAAAGGAAUGACGGGACCCGCCAGCAGCGGAGCAUGUGGUUAAUUCGAUGCACGCGAAGACCUUACCAGGGCUUGACAUCCCUCUGACAGUCCUAGAGAUAGGGCCUUCCUUCGGGGACAGAGGUGACAGGUGGUGCAUGGUUGUCGUCAGCUCGUGUCGUGAGAUGUUGGGUUAAGUCCCGCAACGAGCGCAACCCUUGCCUUUAGUUGCUAACAGUUAGGCUGAGCACUCUAGAGGGACUGCCGGCAAUAAGUCGGAGGAAGGUGGGGAUGACGUCAAAUCAUCAUGCCCUUUAUGUCCUGGGCUACACACGUGCUACAAUGGUCGGUACAAAGGGCAGCGACCUAGCGAUAGGAAGCGAAUCCCAUAAAGCCGAUCCCAGUUCGGAUUGCAGGCUGCAACUCGCCUGCAUGAAGUCGGAGUUGCUAGUAAUCGCGGAUCAGAAUGCCGCGGUGAAUGCGUUCCCGGGUCUUGUACACACCGCCCGUCACACCAUGGGAGUCAACAAUGCCCGAAGCCAGUGAGCUAACCGUAAGGGGGCAGCUGUCGAAGGCAGGGUUGAUGACUGGGGUGAAGUCGUAACAAGGUAGCCGUAUCGGAAGGUGCGGCUGGAUCACCUCCUUUCU
RNAcentral lists this ribosomal RNA (1517 nucleotides) under Clostridiales bacterium NS4-1. RNAcentral describes it as "16S ribosomal RNA". It matches the Rfam family "Bacterial small subunit ribosomal RNA". Lineage: Bacteria; Bacillati; Bacillota; Clostridia; Eubacteriales. The record is from RNAcentral.